AAAUUGAAGAGUUUGAUCAUGGCUCAGAUUGAACGCUGGCGGCAGGCCUAACACAUGCAAGUCGAACGGUAACAGGAAGCAGCUUGCUGCUUCGCUGACGAGUGGCGGACGG
Molecule: ribosomal RNA, 112 nt
Filed under: Escherichia coli
Lineage: Bacteria; Pseudomonadati; Pseudomonadota; Gammaproteobacteria; Enterobacterales; Enterobacteriaceae
Also listed under: 33 other names
Description: partial 16S ribosomal RNA
Rfam family: Bacterial small subunit ribosomal RNA
Source: RNAcentral